Long non-coding RNA from Equus caballus (horse), 3310 nucleotides. The record is from Ensembl. NCBI's taxonomy places the organism in Eukaryota, Metazoa, Chordata, Mammalia, Perissodactyla, Equidae.
AUUGGAAAGCCACACGUUUAUUUUUAGUCUUUUCCCCAUCUCUCUCUCCUCCCUGUAUCUGCUCUCCUCUCUUCAUUGAAAUAUGAAGUGAGCCACAUCCAAUCUGUAGCCUUUCUAAGGUUCUAGCUCUAAGUGCGAGCUCACCAUAGAGACCAGAGUUACCAACAAUAGAAAAUACUGUGUCCAUGACAACCAGAAAACCCAAGGCAGUAGUUGAUUUUAACCGUCUAGUUCUAACCUUGUUAUUUAAAUUCCUCUUUUCCUCAAGGGCUGUACUUACUGCUUUAUAUAAAAGGCAGGCACACCGCUACACAGACAGCAAAAUUUCCGUACUGUCUGCUGGAAGAGGUGAGACAAGUAUCUGCAUGUGAGAGAUGCCGCGUGAACAGUCCAGAGAAGAGGGGACAACUUCCUGCUAAAGAAAUCAGGAAGGCUUCCUGGAGCCCUCAUUUGAGCUCAGGAUGGCGAGUAGACAUCAAUUACAGACCCCAACAGGAAGACAUCAGUUACUGGCCCCAAUGGGAAGAGACAUACCUUGCAUUCCCAAACAGGAAGUGGAGCUAUUUUACUACUCCAGCAGGAGGAAGGAAGUCUUCCUUCUUGCCCAGCAAUAAGCCAAGCCAAUGAGAAGCCAUCUUCACCUGAACUUUUACUUUCCUCCAGUGAACUUUCAUUAUUUCCUUGAGAUGACUUCCUUUCCUCGUCCCACCCUCCUUGCUAUAAAAGCCUUCCAUGUUGUGUAACCCCUCAGAGUGUCUCUGCUUGCUAGAUCAGAGGCUGCCCCAUGCAUGAAUGCUUCAAUAAAGCCAAUUAGAUCUUCAAAUUUACUUAGUCGAAUUUUGGUUUUUGACAAUACUAACUCACUCGCCACCCACUGGGGUUUCACCCUCAGAAGCACACACACAAAGCUCUCCAGUAAACAGUUAGUCAUCUACUCAAGCAACCUUAAGGGAAAACAAAUACCAAGCUCCAACAUGUAAAGAGCUUGGAAGUCAUCAUACCCAUGUGCACCAGAAAAAGCUAGACAAAUGGAAGAUAACUGACUGUUUUUGGAACUGUCAGAGAACUGAAGUCACAAGGCAAACCACUACGCCAAAUUCCGGAGAGACAGAUGCGUCCAGAAUUAUAGCUCCCGAGAUUUGCUGACCUGGAGUAGAAGCCAUUGGAAUCAACAAGCUGGUAGCAGCAGUUAAAUUGUUAUUUUGACGAACUGCAGGAAUCUGGGCGCAGACGUGCGUGAGAGUGAGACGCUCCGGUGGGCACCUACAGCCAUGGGGGUACCAAACUCACAUGGACUGUCACUCCAGGAACCUCACCAGGUUCCCACAGGGAUGAUCUGAGAAAGAUCCCCUCCUAGUCUGCAUGGGAGUAGGCAUCUUCAAGCUCACCUAGGCUCUUUUUUUUUUAAAUUGGUACCUAAGCUAACAUCUGUUGCCAAUCUUUUUUUUUUUUUCCUUCUUCUCCCCAAGCCCCCCAACACAUAGUUGUAUAUUCUAGUUGUAGGUACUCCUGGUUGUGCUAUGUGGGAUGCUGCCUCAGUGUGGCCUGAUGAGCGGUGCCGUGUCCACACCCAGGAUCCGAACUGGCGAAACCCUGGGCUGCCAAGUGGAGCGCAUGAACUUAACCACUCCACCACAGGGCUGGCCCCUCGCCCAGGCUCUUAUCCCUAACAAAGGCCCAGUCUCCAGGUGGAAAGAAGGCCUUACCUAUGGAAAAACAAAGAUGACAGCCGGCUUCUCAUCAGAGACCAUACAAGCAAAAAGAAAGUGGAGUGAAACCUUUAAAGUACAGAGAGAAAUUGCCAGACUAGGGACUGGCCCCGUGGCCGAGUGGUUCAGUUUGUCCACUCCGCUGUGGUGGCCCAGGGUUUUGCAGGUUUGGAUCCUGAGCAUGAACAUGGCGCCACUCAUCAAGCCGUGGUGAAGCGGCAUCCCACAUCCCACAAGUAGAAGGACCCACAACUAAAAAUACAUACAACUAUGUACUGGGGGAGAAGAAGGAAAAAGAAAUCUUUGAAAGAAAGAAGAAAGAAAGAAAGAAAUUGCCAGACUAGAAUUUUAUAUCCAGAGAAGUUAUCCUUCAAAAGUGAAGGAGACAUAAAUAUUUUCCCAGACAAGCAAGAACAUCAUUGCAGCAGGAAAUGUUAAAGAAGUUCUUCAGGAAGAAAACGAAUUAGGUCCGAAACUUGAAUGUACGCAAAGAAAGGAAGAGCACCAGAGAAGCAACAAAUGAAGGUGCUUUCUACCAGAGUGAUUUUGAGCAGCCAGUAUCCAGAGCGCUCAUGAAACCCAAAGGGCCCCCCGGCGCCCACCUUACCAUGCUGGAGACCCUCACCCUAGGGCUGGCAGGAAGAUUAGCCCUGAGCUAACAUCUGCUGCCAAUCCUCCUCUUUUCGCUGAGGAAGACUGGCCCCAAGCUAAUGUCCGUGCCCAUCUUCCACUACUUUAUAUGUGGGAUGCCUGCAACAGCACGGCUUAACAAUCAGUGCAUUGGUCUGCACCCCGGAUCUGAACCAGCAAACCCCGGGCCGCUGAAGCAGAAUGUUCAAACUUAACUGCUAUGCCACCGGCCCCUCUUGUUUCUAAUUCUAUUUGUGUAAGGUUUUGGGGAUUUUUGCAAUGUUUUCUCUUUAUAGGUAAAUUACUUACGCAAAUUUUAACUGUAUCCUUUCCAGAAAUACAACAGUCUUGUUUAGUUCAAGACUGUCAGCACCCAAACUUCAUAUUGUAAGAGGUGUCUACACUGUUGAAGCUACACGGGAAUUCAAAAUAGCAACUCUUCAUGAGAGAUGUGCAUGCCCUUUAUAAGGAAAACUACAAAACUUGUGUCUGAGUUUGGGGCCCACCAAAACGCAACCCUGAGACUCACUGAGACCACUUGGGAGGUGAUUCCAGGAGCUAAAGGAAGGAAGUGGGAAUGUGAGACAGGGAAGGGAGAAAAAUCAAGAAAAGUGGGCAGUUUUUCUGUGGGUAAGUGGGGCUUCAUCCCUUGGGGGUUCUUUGGGAGAUGAUGGGAACACACCUCAGGUCAUCCACCUGCAGGAUGGGGAAGUCAGAGCACUGAUCCACCAACUUGCAUCUCCCACUGGUGACAAUUGCCCCGGGAGCGCCGACUCCCCAUGCUUUGGGGGUGUUCCUGUCAGGGGCAGGACAGGCUGAGAUGGUGCUAGAGAAAGACCUUAGGCAGAGAAGAGAGAUGCAGGCCUUGAGGUGGGAAGGUGUCAGCAUUCUGGAAACCUGUUACAGGUGAACGCAGAAGGGCCAAGGGGAUGUAGGACGAGGCAUCAGCAGCGUCUGCCAUGACUCUAUUG